This 549-nucleotide ribosomal RNA is filed under the name Pseudoclavibacter helvolus. RNAcentral describes it as "bacterial SSU rRNA". It matches the Rfam family "Bacterial small subunit ribosomal RNA", at positions 242 to 803 of the family's 1533-position model. The record is from RNAcentral. Lineage: Bacteria; Bacillati; Actinomycetota; Actinomycetes; Micrococcales; Microbacteriaceae.
CAGCUUGUUGGUGAGGUAAUGGCUCACCAAGGCGACGACGGGUAGCCGGCCUGAGAGGGUGACCGGCCACACUGGGACUGAGACACGGCCCAGACUCCUACGGGAGGCAGCAGUGGGGAAUAUUGCACAAUGGGCGAAAGCCUGAUGCAGCAACGCCGCGUGAGGGAUGACGGCCUUCGGGUUGUAAACCUCUUUUAGUAGGGAAGAAGCGAGAGUGACGGUACCUGCAGAAAAAGCACCGGCUAACUACGUGCCAGCAGCCGCGGUAAUACGUAGGGUGCAAGCGUUGUCCGGAAUUAUUGGGCGUAAAGAGCUCGUAGGCGGUUUGUCGCGUCUGCUGUGAAAUCCCGAGGCUCAACCUCGGGUCUGCAGUGGGUACGGGCAGACUAGAGUGUGGUAGGGGAGAUUGGAAUUCCUGGUGUAGCGGUGGAAUGCGCAGAUAUCAGGAGGAACACCGAUGGCGAAGGCAGAUCUCUGGGCCAUUACUGACGCUGAGGAGCGAAAGCAUGGGGAGCGAACAGGAUUAGAUACCCUGGUAGUCCAUGCCGU